RNAcentral lists this ribosomal RNA (468 nucleotides) under uncultured bacterium. Its description in RNAcentral is "partial 16S ribosomal RNA". It matches the Rfam family "Bacterial small subunit ribosomal RNA", at positions 28 to 507 of the family's 1533-position model. The record is from RNAcentral.
GACGAACGCUGGCGGCGUGCUUAACACAUGCAAGUCGAACGGAAAGGCCCUGCUUUUGUGGGGUGCUCGAGUGGCGAACGGGUGAGUAACACGUGAGUAACCUGCCCUUGACUUUGGGAUAACUUCAGGAAACUGGGGCUAAUACCGGAUAGGAGCUCCUGCUGCAUGGUGGGGGUUGGAAAGUUUCGGCGGUUGGGGAUGGACUCGCGGCUUAUCAGCUUGUUGGUGGGGUAGUGGCUUACCAAGGCUUUGACGGGUAGCCGGCCUGAGAGGGUGACCGGCCACAUUGGGACUGAGAUACGGCCCAGUCGCCUACGGGAGGCAGCAGUGGGGAAUAUUGCACAAUGGGCGCAAGCCUGAUGCAGCAACGUCGCGUGCGGGAUGACGGCCUUCGGGUUGUAAACCGCUUUCGCCUGUGACGAAGCGUGAGUGACGGUAAUGGGUAAAUAAGCACCGGCUAACUACGUG